UGGGGAAUAUUGCGCAAUGGGCGAAAGCCUGACGCAGCCAUGCCGCGUGUGUGAAGAAGGCCUUCGGGUUGUAAAGCACUUUAAGCAGGGAGGAAGGCUCCGUAGUUAAUACCUGCGGAGAUUGACGUUACCUGCAGAAUAAGCACCGGCUAACUCCGUGCCAGCAGCCGCGGUAAUACGGAGGGUGCGAGCGUUAAUCGGAAUUACUGGGCGUAAAGCGCGCGUAGGCGGUUUGUUAAGUCGGAUGUGA
Molecule: ribosomal RNA, 250 nt
Filed under: uncultured bacterium
Lineage: Bacteria
Description: partial 16S ribosomal RNA
Rfam family: Bacterial small subunit ribosomal RNA
Source: RNAcentral